CGGGGCAACCUGGUGGCGAGUGGCGAACGGGUGAGUAAUAUAUCGGAACGUACCCAGAAGUGGGGGAUAACGCAGCGAAAGUUGCGCUAAUACCGCAUACGAUCUACGGAUGAAAGUGGGGGACCUGUAAGGGCCUCAUGCUUUUGGAGCGGCCGAUAUCUGAUUAGCUAGUUGGUGAGGUAAAGGCUCACCAAGGCAUCGAUCAGUAGCUGGUCUGAGAGGACGACCAGCCACACUGGAACUGAGACACGGUCCAGACUCCUACGGGAGGCAGCAGUGGGGAAUUUUGGACAAUGGGGGCAACCCUGAUCCAGCAAUGCCGCGUGAGUGAAGAAGGCCUUCGGGUUGUAAAGCUCUUUUGUCCGGGAAGAAACGGUACUCUCUAAUAUAGAGUGCUAAUGACGGUACCGGAAGAAUAAGCACCGGCUAACUACGUGCCAGCAGCCGCGGUAAUACGUAGGGUGCAAGCGUUAAUCGGAAUUACUGGGCGUAAAGCGUGCGCAGGCGGUUAUGUAAGUCAGCUGUGAAAUCCCCGGGCUUAACCUGGGAAUGGCAGUUGAGACUGCAUGGCUAGAGUGUGUCAGAGGGGGGUAGAAUUCCACGUGUAGCAGUGAAAUGCGUAGAGAUGUGGAGGAAUACCGAUGGCGAAGGCAGCCCCCUGGGAUAACACUGACGCUCAUGCACGAAAGCGUGGGGAGCAAACAGGAUUAGAUAC
This 715-nucleotide ribosomal RNA is filed under the name uncultured beta proteobacterium. RNAcentral describes it as "bacterial SSU rRNA". It matches the Rfam family "Bacterial small subunit ribosomal RNA", at positions 75 to 785 of the family's 1533-position model. The record is from RNAcentral. Lineage: Bacteria; Pseudomonadati; Pseudomonadota; Betaproteobacteria.